GAAAGUAGCUCAGUUGGUAGAGCACAACCUUGCCAAGGUUGGGGUCGCGGGUUCGAAUCCCGUCUUUC
RNAcentral lists this transfer RNA (68 nucleotides) under Bacteroides coprosuis. It matches the Rfam family "tRNA". From Rfam's summary of the family: Transfer RNA (tRNA) molecules are approximately 80 nucleotides in length. Their secondary structure includes four short double-helical elements and three loops (D, anti-codon, and T loops). Further hydrogen bonds mediate the characteristic L-shaped molecular structure. tRNAs have two regions of fundamental functional importance: the anti-codon, which is responsible for specific mRNA codon recognition, and the 3' end, to which the tRNAs corresponding amino acid is attached (by aminoacyl-tRNA synthetases). tRNAs cope with the degeneracy of the genetic code in two manners: having more than one tRNA (with a specific anti-codon) for a particular amino acid; and 'wobble' base-pairing, i.e. permitting non-standard base-pairing at the 3rd anti-codon position. Lineage: Bacteria; Pseudomonadati; Bacteroidota; Bacteroidia; Bacteroidales; Bacteroidaceae. RNAcentral also lists the same sequence under 1 other name. The record is from RNAcentral.